GUGGGGAAUAUUGGACAAUGGGGGGAACCCUGAUCCAGCCAUGCCGCGUGUGUGAAGAAGGCCUUUUGGUUGUAAAGCACUUUAAGCGAGGAGGAGGCUACCGAGAUUAAUACUCUUGGAUAGUGGACGCUACUCGCAGAAUAAGCACCGGCUAACUCUGUGCCAGCAGCCGCGGUAAUACAGAGGGUGCAAGCGUUAAUCGGAUUUACUGGGCGUAACGCGCGCGUAGGUGGCCAAUUAAGUCAAAUGUGAAAUCCCCGAGCUUAACUUGGGAAUUGCCUUCGAGACUGGUUGGCUAGAGUAUGGGCGAGGAUGGUAGAAUUCCAGGUGUAGCGGUGAAAUGCGUAGAGAUCUGGAGGAAUACCGAUGGCGAAGGCAGCCAUCUGGCCUAAUACUGACACUGAGGUGCGAAAGCAUGGGGAGCAAACAGGAUUAGAUACCCCUGUAGUUCC
Molecule: ribosomal RNA, 452 nt
Filed under: uncultured bacterium
Lineage: Bacteria
Description: partial 16S ribosomal RNA
Rfam family: Bacterial small subunit ribosomal RNA
Source: RNAcentral